GAUCCUGUGCUCAUCAUCUUUGGCUGCUUUUGUGGAUUUAUUUUGAUUGGGUUGGUUUUAUACAUCUCCUUGGCCAUCAGAAAAAGAGUCCAGGAGACAAAGUUUGGGAAUGCAUUCACAGAGGAGGAUUCUGAAUUAGUGGUGAAUUAUAUAGCCAAGAAAUCCUUCUGUCGGCGAGCCAUUGAACUUACCUUACAUAGCUUGGGAGUCAGUGAGGAACUACAAAAUAAACUAGAAGAUGUUGUGAUUGACAGGAAUCUUCUAAUUCUUGGAAAAAUUCUGGGUGAAGGUAAGCAAUUUAAAGUAAUUCUUUUAAAAUGUGGGAUAAGAAGGUAGCAGUUUAGAAUAAUUCUUUAACAUAUAUUUAUUAAAUAAAAUAGCAUCUCAGGACCCUGAGUUAUACUAUGGAUAGUUAUAUUUUAUUAUUUAAAAUGAUAGACUUGAUUUUUGAAACUCAGAUCUGGCAAAUGAAAAGAUUCUCUUCAAUGCCUAGCACAUACAGGUCCUUGAAAAAUAUUAAUUUUCUUUCUUCAUUGAAAAGCA
RNAcentral lists this small RNA (543 nucleotides) under Pan troglodytes (chimpanzee). RNAcentral describes it as "retained intron". Lineage: Eukaryota; Metazoa; Chordata; Mammalia; Primates; Hominidae. The record is from RNAcentral.